GACGAACGCUGGCGGCGUGCCUAACACAUGCAAGUCGAACGGAGAUAUUCCUUCGGGGAUAUCUUAGUGGCGGACGGGCGAGUAACGCGUGAGUAACCUGCCCUUUAGUGGGGAAUAACGGCUGGAAACGGUCGCUAAUACCGCAUAAUAUAUUUGAAUGGCAUCGUUUGAAUAUCAAAGGAGCAAUUCGCUGAAGGAUGGACUCGCGUCCGAUUAGCUAGUUGGUGAGGUAAUGGCUCACCAAGGCGACGAUCGGUAGCCGAACUGAGAGGUUGAUCGGCCGCAUUGGGACUGAGACACGGCCCAGACUCCUACGGGAGGCAGCAGUGGGGGAUAUUGCACAAUGGAGGAAACUCUGAUGCAGCAACGCCGCGUGAGGGAAGAAGGUCUUCGGAUUGUAAACCUAAGUAGUCAGGGACGAAUAAUGACGGUACCUGAAGAGUAAGCUCCGGCUAACUACGUG
Molecule: ribosomal RNA, 463 nt
Filed under: uncultured organism
Description: bacterial SSU rRNA
Rfam family: Bacterial small subunit ribosomal RNA
Source: RNAcentral